Non-coding RNA from Schizosaccharomyces pombe (fission yeast), 366 nucleotides. The record is from the annotation of a GenBank genome assembly. NCBI's taxonomy places the organism in Eukaryota, Fungi, Ascomycota, Schizosaccharomycetes, Schizosaccharomycetales, Schizosaccharomycetaceae.
UCUUCAAGUAACUCCUUUAAUUCCCCAUCUUGAGAUUGAUCCGAUAUAAGUACCCUAGUUUGCUCAAGUUCUCUUUCUUGUGCUAACUUUGCUUCAGCAUAGUUGGACAGAUGAGACUCCAAUUCAGCGAUUCUUUCCCUGAACUUGUUAUUUUCCUGCUCCGAGUUGUCCAACUGUUUUGAAAUCUCAAACAAUCUGCUUUCAAGCCUGUAAGAUACUUGCUUAAGGUGACUCGCUUUAGUGGAUUCAAUUUUUAAUUCUGUCAAUUGUCGCUUUGCAAGUUUCAUCCUCCAAAGAGACUGGAUACGAACUGCAUAAUAUUGUAGUUCUUUGUAGUGCUUAUGGGCUUUAAAUGUUAACCAAAGA